Molecule: ribosomal RNA, 503 nt
Filed under: uncultured bacterium
Lineage: Bacteria
Description: partial 16S ribosomal RNA
Rfam family: Bacterial small subunit ribosomal RNA
Source: RNAcentral
AUUGAACGCUGGCGGCAGGCUUAACACAUGCAAGUCGAGCGGGCGAGGUUGCUUCGGUAACUGAGCUAGCGGCGGACGGGUGAGUAAAGCUUAGGAAUCUGCCUAUUAGUGGGGGACAACAUUCCGAAAGGGAUGCUAAUACCGCAUACGUCCUACGGGAGAAAGCAGGGGAUCACUUGUGACCUUGCGCUAAUAGAUGAGCCUAAGUCGGAUUAGCUAGUUGGUGGGGUAAAGGCCUACCAAGGCGACGAUCUGUAGCGGGUCUGAGAGGAUGAUCCGCCACACUGGGACUGAGAAACGGCCCAGACUCCGACGGGAGGCAGCAGUGGGGAAUAUUAGGCAAGGGGGGGAACCGUGAUCCAGCCAUGCCGCGUGUGUGAAGAAGGCCUUUUGGUUGUAAAGCACUUUAAGCGAGGAGGAGGCUUGCCUGGUUAAUACCUGGGCUAAGUGGACGUUACUCGCAGAAUAAGCACCGGCUAACUCUGUGCCAGCAGCCGCCGUAA